This is a long non-coding RNA of Neoarius graeffei (lesser salmon catfish), 576 nucleotides long. RefSeq lists it as uncharacterized. The transcript has 3 exons. The record is from RefSeq and is a predicted model, not a curated record. Lineage: Eukaryota; Metazoa; Chordata; Actinopteri; Siluriformes; Ariidae.
GAGCUGACAAACGCAAACCAGAAGUUCAGACUUGACUCGUUUCCACCUGACUCAGGGCAGAGCAGGAGCAUCGAAAGCAUCUCCUCAUGGCCGACUCAAAUCAAUCUGACCAGUCCAAAUCAAUCCUUUGGCCUGUCCUAACAGCAAGGUGUUUCCAUCAACAGACCAGGGUCAUGGAGGAUCUUGAGCCUAUCUCAGGAACACUGGGAGUGAAGUAGCAUUUGACUGGGACACCAAUCCACCACAGGACAUCAAGCAUAUGUACAUUUAGACCCUCAUUCACACCUACGCUAAUUUAGCUUAGCUAGUUCAUCUACUGGCAUGUUUGGAGGUGGUAGGAAAGUAAAAUGAGUUCGGGAUCAAAUCGAGGACCCUGGAGCUGUGAGCCAGCAACAUACACAAAAAGUGCUAAUUAAACUAAUAUUCCCUGAAAUAAUUAUAGAAGCAUUUACGGAUCGGAUUCUAGAAAAACCUUACUGGCCUUACCAAUUAGCCCAUAUUUAGAAAUAAUGCAGACAAUAGGAUUCAUUUAUUUAAUUUAAUUUAGGAAUAUACAUUUACACAUGUGAGAACAGU